AGUGAACGCUGGCGGUAGGCCUAACACAUGCAAGUCGAACGGCAGCACAGUAAGAGCUUGCUCUUACGGGUGGCGAGUGGCGGACGGGUGAGGAAUACAUCGGAAUCUACUUUUUCGUGGGGGAUAACGUAGGGAAACUUACGCUAAUACCGCAUACGACCUACGGGUGAAAGCAGGGGAUCUUCGGACCUUGCGCGAUUGAAUGAGCCGAUGUCGGAUUAGCUAGUUGGCGGGGUAAAGGCCCACCAAGGCGACGAUCCGUAGCUGGUCUGAGAGGAUGAUCGGCCACACUGGAACUGAGACACGGUCCAGACUCCUACGAGAGGCAGCAGUGGGGAAUAUUGGACAAUGGGCGCAAGCCUGAUCCAGCCAUACCGCGUGGGUGAAGAAGGCCUUCGGGUUGUAAAGCCCUUUUGUUGGGAAAGAAAAGCAGCAGGUUAAUACCCCGCUGUUCUGACGGUACCCAAAGAAUAAGCACCGGCUAACUUCGUG
This 492-nucleotide ribosomal RNA is filed under the name uncultured bacterium. Its description in RNAcentral is "partial 16S ribosomal RNA". It matches the Rfam family "Bacterial small subunit ribosomal RNA", at positions 29 to 507 of the family's 1533-position model. The record is from RNAcentral.